UGGGGAAUAUUGGACAAUGGGGGCAACCCUGAUCCAGCAAUGCCGCGUGUGUGAAGAAGGUCUUCGGAUUGUAAAGCACUUUCGACGGGGACGAUGAUGACGGUACCCGUAGAAGAAGCCCCGGCUAACUUCGUGCCAGCAGCCGCGGUAAUACGAAGGGGGCUAGCGUUGCUCGGAAUGACUGGGCGUAAAGGGCGUGUAGGCGGUUUACACAGUCAGAUGUGAAAUCCCCCGGGCUUAACCUGGGAGCUGCAUUUGAUACGUGUAGACUAGAGUGUGAGAGAGGGUUGUGGAAUUCCCAGUGUAGAGGUGAAAUUCGUAGAUAUUGGGAAGAACACCGGUGGCGAAGGCGGCAACCUGGCUCA
Molecule: ribosomal RNA, 365 nt
Filed under: uncultured bacterium
Lineage: Bacteria
Description: partial 16S ribosomal RNA
Rfam family: Bacterial small subunit ribosomal RNA
Source: RNAcentral